UACGUAGGGGGCUAGCGUUGUCCGGAAUCACUGGGCGUAAAGGGCGCGUAGGCGGCCCGGCAAGUCAGUGGUGAAAGCCCGAGGCUCAACUUCGGGUCGGCCACUGAUACUGCUAGGCUUGAGUCGACUAGAGGCAGAUGGAAUUCCGGGUGUAGCGGUGGAAUGCGUAGAGAUCCGGAAGAACACCGGUGGCGAAGGCGGGUCUCUGGGCAAUAACUGACGCUGAGGAGCGAAAGCGUGGGGAGCGAACAGG
This 253-nucleotide ribosomal RNA is filed under the name uncultured bacterium. RNAcentral describes it as "partial 16S ribosomal RNA". It matches the Rfam family "Bacterial small subunit ribosomal RNA", at positions 524 to 776 of the family's 1533-position model. The record is from RNAcentral.